UACGAAGGGGGCUAGCGUUGCUCGGAAUCACUGGGCGUAAAGCGCACGUAGGCGGAUUUUUAAGUCAGGGGUGAAAUCCUGGAGCUCAACUCCAGAACUGCCCUUGAUACUGGGAAUCUCGAGUCCGGGAGAGGUGAGUGGAACUGCGAGUGUAGAGGUGAAAUUCGUAGAUAUUCGCAAGAACACCAGUGGCGAAGGCGGCUCACUGGCCCGGUACUGACGCUGAGGUGCGAAAGCGUGGGGAGCAAACAGG
This 253-nucleotide ribosomal RNA is filed under the name uncultured bacterium. RNAcentral's name for it is "partial 16S ribosomal RNA". It matches the Rfam family "Bacterial small subunit ribosomal RNA", at positions 524 to 776 of the family's 1533-position model. The record is from RNAcentral.